Molecule: ribosomal RNA, 468 nt
Filed under: uncultured bacterium
Lineage: Bacteria
Description: partial 16S ribosomal RNA
Rfam family: Bacterial small subunit ribosomal RNA
Source: RNAcentral
GACGAACGCUGGCGGCGUGCUUAACACAUGCAAGUCGAACGGAAAGGCCCUGCUUUUGUGGGGUGCUCGAGUGGCGAACGGGUGGGUAACACGUGAGUAACCUGCCCUUGACUUUGGGAUAACUUCAGGAAACUGGGGCUAAUACCGGAUAGGAGCUCCUGCUGCAUGGUGGGGGUUGGAAAGUUUCGGCGGUUGGGGAUGGACUCGCGGCUUAUCAGCUUGUUGGUGGGGUAGUGGCUUACCAAGGCUUUGACGGGUAGCCGGCCUGGGAGGGUGACAGGCCCCAUUGGGACUGAGAUGCGGGCAAGAGUCCUACGGGAGGCAGCAGUGGGAGAUAGUGCACAAUGGGCGGAAGCCGUAUGCAGCAACGCCGCGUGCGAGAUGACGGCCUUCGGGUUGUAAACCGCGUUCGCCUGUGACGAAGCGUGAGUGACGGUAAUGGGUAAAGAAGCACCGGCUAACUACGUG